Molecule: ribosomal RNA, 204 nt
Filed under: uncultured bacterium
Lineage: Bacteria
Description: partial 16S ribosomal RNA
Rfam family: Bacterial small subunit ribosomal RNA
Source: RNAcentral
UACGAAGGGGCUAGCGUUGCUCGGAAUCACUGGGCGUAAAGGGCGCGUAGGCGGUCUCUUAAGCGUGUGGUGAAAGCCCGGGCUCAACUCCGGGUCGGCCGUGCGAACUGGGGGACUGGAGCGUAUCAGAGGCGGGCGGAAUUCCGGGUGUAGCGGUGGAAUGCGUAGAGAUCCGGAAGAACACCGGUGGCGAAGGCGGUCCGC